UUACGACUAUAUCACGCCGAAACAACGGUUCCCGUACGAUCACCGAAGUUAAGCAAUGUCGAGUCAGGUCAGUUCCUAGAUGGGUAACCGCUUAGUAAUACCAGGUGAUGUAAG
This is a non-coding RNA of Acanthosepion pharaonis, 114 nucleotides long. NCBI's taxonomy places the organism in Eukaryota, Metazoa, Mollusca, Cephalopoda, Sepiida, Sepiidae. The record is from the annotation of a GenBank genome assembly.